Long non-coding RNA from Candoia aspera, 1234 nucleotides. RefSeq lists it as uncharacterized. The transcript is spliced from 2 exons. The record is from RefSeq and is a predicted model, not a curated record. NCBI's taxonomy places the organism in Eukaryota, Metazoa, Chordata, Lepidosauria, Squamata, Candoiidae.
UGUCUGAUUUUAAUAGCACAUUUCUUUUACAUAAACUGUGACGACAACUUGCAUAAACUAUUUAGUACUGAAGAAGUUCUUCAAAUGUUAAUUUUAAUGUAAAAGUUGGUAAAAAGAAAAAAAGAUGUUUUAAAAAUAGAUACUUAAAAUAUAUCCACUUGCAUCUGCAUAAAUUAGUGAUAAUGUUUUAAUACUUGUGCUCUUUUGUCAAUGUAAUGAACCGUAACCUUGGGCAAAAGCAAAAAGAAUUAAAUCUUAAAAUAUAAAUAUGGAUGUAGCUAGUCCUCUGUGUUUACCAACAAAAUCUCAGUUAUCCAAGUAAAAACAGCCCUUAUUGACCCAUUAUUGUUGUUCACUAUCUUAAAAUGCCCAUUUUUAGGUUUUAAGUUGCAUGUUUCCUUUCCCUGCAGUGUUUAAAUUGCAUGCAAAAGUUAUGUCAACAUUUCUUUCAAAUUGUGUGUAGCUGUGAGGAAACUUACCCUUUUUCUCCAUUUGCAGGUGGCGCUCUGCUGUAUGGACCAAAAUGGCACUUGAUGAGAACAGGUUGGGUAUUCUUUAAAUCCAAGAAGAUGACUUGGAAACAACUUUUAUAAUAGAACAUAUUCUUACCAAGUCUUUGGAGAACUUCCAAUCCUUUUCAACUAUAUUAGUACUGGACUGGGACUUCAGAGGCUUAUUUUAGAGAUAAUGUGGUCCUUUCCAUUUAGCGUAUUUAGCCAAGUCUUGGCUGUAAAUUUGGUAGUGCUGGAGAGCAUCUAGAAUUUUGGCUGAUACAACAUAACAGGUUGCAGCCUGACUGACAUAGUAUGCCUGUGUAAGUGUAUUUCAACCAGAUCUGAAUAAUUUGGUGACUUGUUGCUCCAUAACUGCUCUGGGCACUUCCCUAUUUUAAGGGAACGCACUGGCUUUCCAGAAAUUACUCUUUUGUAUGGUUGCUGCUGGAACAAAGGAGUGUGAUUUGGAUCCAUCUUCAUUUGCUAUGAUAGUACAGUACAUUUGAAUAAAGGUACUUUAAAAAAAAUAUGAUUUCAUGUUAAUCAUUUAAUUAGUUGGAGCAACCGUAUGAACAUUUGGCUGAACUUUAUUUUCAAAUCAGCCUUCAUAUGGAUCGGGCAAAAUCAUCUAUCACAGUAUUGAAAGAAAUAAUAAGAAAAAUUGAAACGCUUUUGAUUGUUACCAGGUAGGUAACAGAAAGGUUUGGAUUUAAUUGUAAUUGCACCCUUCCUGUUUGAAA